GAUUAGGUAUUUUAAUAAAAAAAUAAGUUUUGCAUACUUAAAUUGAGUUUAUCUUCUCCCUAGUUA
Molecule: transfer RNA, 66 nt
Filed under: Fulvia mutica
Lineage: Eukaryota; Metazoa; Mollusca; Bivalvia; Cardiida; Cardiidae
Description: tRNA-Ala
Source: RNAcentral